GAUGAACGCUGGCGGCGUGCUUAACACAUGCAAGUCGAACGGAAAGGCUCCUGCUUGCCGGGGUACUCGAGUGGCGAACGGGUGAGUAACACGUGGGUGAUCUGCCCUGCACUUCGGGAUAAGCCUGGGAAACUGGGUCUAAUACCGGAUAGGACGAUGGUUUGGAUGCCAUUGUGGAAAGUUUUUCGGUGUGGGAUGAGCUCGCGGCCUAUCAGCUUGUUGGUGGGGUAAUGGCCUACCAAGGCGUCGACGGGUAGCCGGCCUGAGAGGGUGUACGGCCACAUUGGGACUGAGGUACGGCCCAGACUCCUACGGGAGGCAGCAGUGGGGAAUAUUGCACAAUGGGCGGAAGCCUGAUGCAGCGACGCCGCGUGGGGGAUGACGGCCUUCGGGUUGUAAACUCCUUUCGCUAGGGACGAAGCGCAAGUGACGGUACCUGGAGAAGAAGCACCGGCUAACUACGUG
RNAcentral lists this ribosomal RNA (465 nucleotides) under uncultured bacterium. Its description in RNAcentral is "partial 16S ribosomal RNA". It matches the Rfam family "Bacterial small subunit ribosomal RNA", at positions 28 to 507 of the family's 1533-position model. The record is from RNAcentral.